Long non-coding RNA from Melopsittacus undulatus (budgerigar), 456 nucleotides. RefSeq lists it as uncharacterized. The record is from RefSeq and is a predicted model, not a curated record. The transcript has 5 exons. NCBI's taxonomy places the organism in Eukaryota, Metazoa, Chordata, Aves, Psittaciformes, Psittaculidae.
GGGCGGUGUCAAUCUCCCACUGCUUCCGCCUGCAGUAGUUCUGGCUGUGGCACGGAGGUGACGCAGAGCGCAGAGCAUGGUCAUAGGGGAAACCGUGAGGGCGCUCUACUUUCCUAGGCCCCGGCCAGGAUUUAAGCCCUAUACUGCAAUGAUUCUGCCACCGGAAAGGAGGUUGUGAGCUGGUGACCUGUCUCCUUUCACAAGUACCAAGUGAUAAGACAAGAGAAAAUGAACUCAGGCUGCACCAGAGAUAGAUAGUGUGGGACAAUGUCAGAUCUAGCUGGCACAAACCCUUCGGGAGGAAGCAAAGAAAAUUGAGGAAUCCAGGGAAAAGUAAAAUCUGCAUUGGAAGAAGAUGGAGCUGAUAAUGGAGGCAAUUCACAAAACCAGGAAAAUGCAGUCCAAGAAGACUAUGGAGGUGAGCCUGAUUAUGCCACAGUUGAUGGCUACAUCACU